UGUCAAGAGCUGAAGGCCAUAGCAGAAGUGCUCAUGGCAAGGCCCUGUCAGAUUCAAGUGAAACUGCAAAUUCUGCU
Molecule: ribozyme, 77 nt
Filed under: Crocodylus porosus (Australian saltwater crocodile)
Lineage: Eukaryota; Metazoa; Chordata; Crocodylia; Crocodylidae
Description: Mammalian CPEB3 ribozyme (ENSCPRG00005015157.1)
Rfam family: Mammalian CPEB3 ribozyme
About the family: The mammalian CPEB3 ribozyme is a self cleaving RNA located in the second intron of the CPEB3 gene which belongs to a family of genes regulating messenger RNA polyadenylation.
Source: Rfam by way of RNAcentral